Molecule: long non-coding RNA, 232 nt
Filed under: Trifolium pratense (red clover)
Lineage: Eukaryota; Viridiplantae; Streptophyta; Magnoliopsida; Fabales; Fabaceae
Description: long non-coding RNA (TPRA_LNC001678)
Source: RNAcentral
UGAUUUGCACAAGGGUCCAGUCUUCCUUUAUAUAGCCUGAGCUAGCACGAGCUAGGUCUUGAAUUGGGCUUCAAAAAAAUGCAGCAGGUCCAGAAGUUACUUCAAGGAAUAUUCUUGAAUCAAAUGUUUUGUUUCCAUAAAUAGUUGAUGCAUUCUGAAACAAAACUAGGUCAUGGCCGCCUUCUAGAACAUUAGGAAAGGCGUGCUGCUUGGUGCACAAGUAAAAAGGCGA